AAUAGACCAUUCCCGUCUGACCUAACCCAAUUUUUUGAUAUUUUUUUUCGAAAGACAAUCGGUUUUCAUGAUCAUUGCCGCUUUUGAAAAUUUUUUAUAUGUAUUCCUGAUUUUCGUACAAUUUUAUGAAAAUUCGAAAAAUCUCUCCAAUUUGAAAUUAAAAUCACCGUGCGAAGUAGUGUGUCAGCUGGCCCUGGUGUGGAGAAUAUGAUUUCAAUCGUGCUUCCUAAUUCCUACCCUGUCGUCGUUCUGGCAUGUUUACAUUUCGAUCUGUCAAACCCGCAUCGCCUCACCUCCGCCGGCUGAUUGGAAAGAAGCGAAAGAAUAUCGUCCACUAUUUCGAUUUUGUCGGAACCGUGGCCACGGGACCGACGGGAACAGAACGACGCUCGUGCUCGGUUCGGAAUGAGCGAGUUGAAUCAUUAAUAUGAAAGCGAUUAAAACAAGCAACACCAGGAGCGUAACCCAGUGCGAUGCUGCUAGACUUGGACAAGCUGAAGCUGGGGGGUUGCAUUGUUUUCCGGAGGUUACAAUCGGGAUCAGAACUGUUUUGGAGGUAAUAGGAUGUUCCAGAAGCCUUUGAAAACCGAUAUAGGGGUCCUCCAUCCAAUGGAAUGUGACCGAAUCGGUUCAGCAAUCCAGAACGGAACAAAUACGGAGGACCUGGUGGAUACCGAAGUGAAAACAGUUGGAACAAGAGCACAGGCGGCUACCAGGCGAAUCUUUCGCAUUAGCCACAGAACUCCACAGCAGCAGUUGUACGAAUCUCACCAGCAGAUGCGAUUUCAUUCGAAGACCAUGUACCAGAAUCCAAACCAGUACAUACGAAGAUUUGGAACGGCUAAUCCGUACCCAGCACAAUUGACAGCUGCAGCUGCUGGUGGUGAAUAAACCAUUCCGAAGGCUGGAUUCACCCGAUACGAUCCGCUGGCCGGCGUACAGGGAGCACAUUAAUUCCGUCGUAUAAAAUUCCAGCAAUACAACAAAUUGCUAAGCAUUAGAAUUUAAUAUGUACCACCUGUGAACGCAUAAAAUAUAUUACUUGCUUUCGUGAUUAAAUGAAAUUUAAUAACUUCCUGA
Molecule: long non-coding RNA, 1080 nt
Organism: Aedes albopictus (Asian tiger mosquito)
Lineage: Eukaryota; Metazoa; Arthropoda; Insecta; Diptera; Culicidae
Exons: 2
Source: RefSeq, a predicted model, not a curated record